GAUGAAGAACGCAGCGAAAUGCGAUACUUGGUGUGAAUUGCAGAAUCCCGUGAACCAUCGAGUCUUUGAACGCAAGUUGCGCCCGAAGCCACUAGGCCGAGGGCACGCCUGCCUGGGCGUCACACGCCGUUGCCCCCCCAUCUACUCCUUCGGGAUUGCGGGGGGGCGGAUGAUGGCCUCCCGUGCGCCUAGCCGCGCGGUUGGCAUAAAUACCAAGUCCUCGGCGACGCACGCCACGACAAUCGGUGGUUGCGAAACCUCGGUUGCCCGUCGUGUGCGUUCGUCGCGCAUCGAGGGCUCGAAAAAAUGCUCGGCUCCGGCUGGGCUUUCAACGCGACCCCAGGUCAGGCGGGGUUACCCGCUGAAUUUAAGCAUAUCAAUAAGCGGAGA
Molecule: unclassified non-coding RNA, 390 nt
Filed under: soil metagenome
Description: partial contains 5.8S ribosomal RNA, internal transcribed spacer 2, and large subunit ribosomal RNA
Rfam family: 5.8S ribosomal RNA (bases 1-122)
Source: RNAcentral